UACGUAGGGGGCAAGCGUUGUCCGGAAUUAUUGGGCGUAAAGAGCGUGUAGGCGGUCCGGUAAGUCAGCUGUGAAAGUCAAGGGCUCAACCCUUGAAAGCCGGUUGAUACUGUCGGGCUAGAGUCCGGAAGAGGCGAGUGGAAUUCCCGGUGUAGCGGUGAAAUGCGCAGAUACCGGGAGGAACACCAAUGGCGAAGGCAGCUCGCUGGGACGGUACUGACGCUGAGGCGCGAAAGCGUGGGGAGCGAACAGG
RNAcentral lists this ribosomal RNA (253 nucleotides) under uncultured bacterium. RNAcentral's name for it is "partial 16S ribosomal RNA". It matches the Rfam family "Bacterial small subunit ribosomal RNA", at positions 524 to 776 of the family's 1533-position model. The record is from RNAcentral.